Molecule: long non-coding RNA, 1624 nt
Organism: Equus asinus (donkey)
Lineage: Eukaryota; Metazoa; Chordata; Mammalia; Perissodactyla; Equidae
Source: Ensembl
GGCCCCGCCCCCGCUCCUGUCACUCAACCCUUCCCGGGCUCCGAGAGGAUCGCAGAUCUCCGACCCUACGCUCCCUGCGGCCUCAUUGGCCCGCCGGGCCUCCAGCCCCGCCCCCUCCCUAGGGACGAAGUCGCCGGGGAGACCAGCGCCCCGGUUCCUAUGACAACCGGUGCCUUAGGCCUGGCUUUUGCGUUCUGCUGGCCAGCCCCUCGUCCAGGUGGAUGGCCCGGCAGCAAAGUUCUUAGCCCCUGCAGCGUGGGCUCCUAAUUUCACGCCAAGUUAAAAAUGCAGCCGAUCGCCCCCACACUUCCAACUUCAGAAACAGAACUUUUUGGCCCUGGGGUGUGCCAAGGAGAGUGAAGAAUGCCUAACUGCUGGCUCUUCCCCCUUAUCAAUCUAAAUAACCCGUCCUCCCCGGUGCUCUCGCCUGCCUCCAGGAUUCGGGCUUUGAAAGGGUGAGAAGGGGAGAGAGAGACGGACAGAGAGACAGAGAGAGAAAGAAAGAGAGAGAAGCGGUGCCAACCCCCUGCAACAAUAUAGCACCUUGGAAAUGGCGGGGUCAACGAAAACAGCUCGGUGAGUUUUCCCACAGGUGUAAAGUGAUCCUCAACGGUGUGGCGGCAGCGCAUCAUCAACCCCAAAUGCCCUCGGGAAAACUCAAAUUCUCGUAUUUUUCAAAAAAACAGUAUGACUAUACAUUACAGCUUGGCAAAGGCACGCUCCAGCACCUAUUCCCAUCCUGCAAGCUAAGAGAUUUGGGUUUCAACGAUUUUCAAGGAAGUCUUGCUGAAUUCAUGAGCAAAUGAGUAAGGACUGUGAUGGGAACUUGGCCCAGGUGAGAAGCAGAAGCAAGAUAAGUUAUCCACUAAAACAUGAGCAGGUCCAGGCCAAAGCAGCCCGACUGUGAAGCCCUGUGAAGAGGAGUAUUCCUGGGUUAACUCAGCGGACAGUUGUUAUGCACUGCGUUUUUCUUUCUCUCCUCUACCAAGUCCCCACUCUGAGCUCCACUCAAAUGUGUUUCUAACCAAACUGUCCAAGUUGCAUGGGGCUGGGGGAUGGGAAAUUGACGGAAGAAAGAAAGGUGGAGAGGUUUAAUUAUUUACAAAAUUCUAAGCUCCUUAGCUUUCCAUUAAAAUCUUGUUGAAAAAAUUUGAUUUCAGGCCAGCCCCAGUGGCCUGGUGGUUAAGUUCAGCGUGCUCCACUGUGGCGGCCCAGAUUCAGUUCCCACGUGCAGACCUACACCACUUGUCAGCCAUGCUGUGGCCGUGAGCCACAUCCAAAAUAGAGGAAGAUUGGCAGCAGAUGUUAGCUCAGGGCGACUCUGCCUCAGAAAAGCAAAUAAUAAUUUGAUUUCAAUGUGGUUCGUUAGGCUUUUAGCAUUUGUUUUAUGAUCUUUGACUAUAUCAAGAAUGAUUUUUUUAAAUAUAAGAAAUUUAAAUCUUUGAGAAAGCAGCAUAUUAUUUAAAUUUUAAGUAAUUACUAUUUAGCAGUAUAGAAAAUGAUACAAAAUUUAGCCAAUUAAAACCACUGAUUUAUUUUUAUUUAUUUUAUUUUUCGGGUGGAAUUAACAAUUUUUUUAAUGAUUAUAAAACAUAAUGAUGCAUUUUAUGAUAGAAAAUUGGUA